Molecule: ribosomal RNA, 301 nt
Filed under: uncultured bacterium
Lineage: Bacteria
Description: partial 16S ribosomal RNA
Rfam family: Bacterial small subunit ribosomal RNA
Source: RNAcentral
CAGUCGCCGCGGUAAUACGAAGGGGGCUAGCGUUGUUCGGAAUUACUGGGCGUAAAGCGCGCGUAGGCGGUUACUCAAGUCAGAGGUGAAAGCCCGGGGCUCAACCCCGGAACUGCCUUUGAAACUAGGUGACUAGAAUCUUGGAGAGGUCAGUGGAAUUCCGAGUGUAGAGGUGAAAUUCGUAGAUAUUCGGAAGAACACCAGUGGCGAAGGCGACUGACUGGACAAGUAUUGACGCUGAGGUGCGAAAGCGUGGGGAGCAAACAGGAUUAGAUACCCCCGUAGUCCCUGUCUCUUAUAC